CUCCUACGGGAGGCAGCAGUGGGGAAUAUUGCACAAUGGGGGAAACCCUGAUGCAGCCAUGCCGCGUGUGUGAAGAAGGCCUUCGGGUUGUAAAGCACUUUCAGCGAGGAGGAAAGGUUGGUAGCUAAUAACUGCCAACUGUGACGUUACUC
RNAcentral lists this ribosomal RNA (152 nucleotides) under uncultured bacterium. RNAcentral's name for it is "partial 16S ribosomal RNA". It matches the Rfam family "Bacterial small subunit ribosomal RNA", at positions 336 to 480 of the family's 1533-position model. The record is from RNAcentral.